Molecule: long non-coding RNA, 1095 nt
Organism: Cyprinus carpio (common carp)
Lineage: Eukaryota; Metazoa; Chordata; Actinopteri; Cypriniformes; Cyprinidae
Source: Ensembl
AAUUUUUAACCCAAAAGUCGAGUUAGUCCAUAUUUGACCAAAAGUUGAGUUGAAACAACCCAGCAUUUUUUAGAAUGUAGGUCGAAAAGUCUUAAUUUACAUUGUAACUUUAAUUAAAUUACUCUAGCACAGUAGAUAUCAGUAAAGCAAUAGCACAAUAAACAAAAUAAAUAAUUCAUAUGUGGAUAAAUCUAAAGGUAAAACUGAUUUUAAAAGUAUUACACGUCCAAACACGGCCAGAAUGUGUGUGCAUUGAGAGGCACGUUUAAAUUCGGCAUCUUAACAUGAUGAAUCUGUCCGUCUAUACACAUAUGAGAAAUGGGGCUAAAACUAACACCUAAACACAGCCAGAAUGUAAUUGUCUACACAUAUAAAAGAAACAUGUUAAAAAUUGCUGCGUUGACAAAUUUCACGUGUCCCAUUUAAAGACUUUUGCCCCCAUCCACCUUCCAUACAUGAGUUCCUCCAGUAGUGGGCACUUGUGAAACGAAAACAAUGAAGUACAUCCGAGUCAAUGACAGGCUAGAAGUCAGCGAGGACAGUGCAUAAAAAGCUAUGUGGAAUUUUAGUGAACGUUUAUGAAAUUAUGAGAAAAGGGGAUUAUUGCUUUUCAGCAGCAACAAAUUAACGUGAUAUUAUUCACUACAGUGAACUCAACUCAAAUACACUGAACUGCAUGCAGUUACUUUAAGUGCUAAGUAAUUAAGGACUGUUGGAUUAUAAUGCGUUAUUAUGAUUUACAUUACCAGUUUUGCCAUUCCACACCGUGACCCACAGACAGCAGCCAUGUCUUCCGGAGCAGCCCCUACAGUAGAAUCUGAUGCUGACUUUUACUAUGACUAUGAGAAUCUGCGCAUUGGAGGCCUGAUCUUUGCUGGGGUCAUUGUGGUACUAUCGGUCCUCCUCCUGACAGGUAACCGCAUCAGACGGUGUGGCAAGCGUAAGUCGAAGCAUGUGGAUGAAGAAAUUUAAGAUGGCUCAUUUCUAUACUGGAUGGAUUUAAGAUGUGAACGGCCUGUAAAUUUGAAAAAAGUCAUAUUAUUAUAAACACUUACAUUUUUGAUUUAAUUGUUAAACAUUUCAUUAAAACAUUGA